This 253-nucleotide unclassified non-coding RNA is filed under the name uncultured Salinisphaerales bacterium. Its description in RNAcentral is "contains 16S-23S intergenic spacer region". It matches the Rfam family "Bacterial small subunit ribosomal RNA", at positions 524 to 776 of the family's 1533-position model. The record is from RNAcentral. Lineage: Bacteria; Pseudomonadati; Pseudomonadota; Gammaproteobacteria; Salinisphaerales.
UACGGAGGGUGCAAGCGUUAAUCGGAUUUACUGGGCGUAAAGCGUGCGUAGGUGGUUUGUUAAGUCGGAUGUGAAAUCCCAGGGCUCAACCUUGGAAUUGCAUUCGAUACUGGCAGACUAGAGAUCGGUAGAGUUUAGUGGAAUUCCAGGUGUAGCGGUGAAAUGCGUAGAUAUCUGGAGGAACAUCGGUGGCGAAGGCAACUGACUGGGCCUGAUCUGACACUGAGGUACGAAAGCGUGGGGAGCGAACGGG